Molecule: unclassified non-coding RNA, 4181 nt
Filed under: Hevea brasiliensis (rubber tree)
Lineage: Eukaryota; Viridiplantae; Streptophyta; Magnoliopsida; Malpighiales; Euphorbiaceae
Source: RNAcentral
UAAUGGCAAAAACUGACUUUAUAUAGGCAUAUAAAAUUUUCUACUCUACAAAGUUCCUCUGCAAAGUCAAAACAAUAUGGACAUGCUUGAAACACAAAUAGAAAACUUGUAUAUCAUAUACGUCCAUAAAUCAGUAGCUAAGUUGAGUUACAUACUAACAUGAACAUCCCUUACAAGCUGUUGAAUUUUAGCAUGCCGUAGAAAGCAUUUCCUUGGGCGUCUCCAGCUUUUCUGGCAACCCCUUAAUUCAGAACCAUUACUCGAUCAAUGGGAUUCUCCAAUCAAUAAGAUAAUUCAGUUUUAAAAAAUAAAAAUUGUGCAUCUAAAGGCAGUCUUCAAUCACAAGCAUUCCAUUUUGCUCUCUAUAUGUCACAAAUGCCUUGUCAAUUGGUGUCGCAUAUUCUAUACCUGAGCAGCAAGCAGUUCAUUCCAUGUGUCUGGAAUGCCAGGUAGACACCAAUGUAAGCAAUCAUUUCCACCCUGUGUUGCCUUAACAGUAUAUCGCGAAAUGUGACCCUCCUCUCUGAGCUCAGACACAGCAGUGAUAUCUAAAAGCUUUACCCUUGUCCCCUUAACAGCAGCCGCGACAACUCGAUCACUUGAUUCAUCCUGUGAGACUUCGCUCCCUUGAGUUAAUGGAGUAGUAACAUCACAGGAACCCCCACUGUUCCAGUCCCCAUUACGGAAAUGCCUUGGUGAGAUAGUCCUAAAGAAAGCUACAAGUCGGGGAUGAGAAGGAAGUUGUGAAUCAAGCCACCUGACAAUACUAUGUACUGUAAAAUUCUUUGCGUUCCCAAUUUCUGCAAGUCUUCUAUCUUCGACAGGCUUUCCAUUCACAUACAUCACCCAACGGUUUGCUCUGAGCUUCCCUCUGUUCCAGUGAUGUCCUGUAUUGAGAACUAACACAUCAAACCUAUGGAGGAAUCGUCUCAUGAAAGCUGGUGCACGGUCUAAAUGCAUGGCCACAUCAGCGGAUGGGUCUGUGAUGUUCAAAGGCUCAAGAUCAGCAAGGCUUGCUGACCAGUAAUAUAAAAUAGUAGUAUUGGUGUUUGAGAAUCGGUAAGCCCAUCCAUCAGGACGAAUGGCUCCACGAGGCUUGACAAGACCAUAUUCUGCUCCCACAUCUUCAACAUCUAACCUCCAUUCCCCACCAGUGGUCAUGCACAUCAUUGAUUGAAAUUGUUGCCGGCCCAAUGAGUCUCCGAUAAAUGCAAUUGUUUUGUCCUGCAUCCUUUUCAAGAAUUGAGAUGACUCAAACUCUGUCAUUUUGCAAUUUUCAGGCUGCCACCGAAAUCCUUCAUAGGAAAAAUCAGUUCGUUGGGUGAGUCUACAUGCCCACAUUUCUGAUAACCAUUGUUUACAUCCAAACCCAGAAUACAAGGGCCGCCUGCUGUCUGUCACCCAUAUACCCUUGGCAUAAUUGCAGGCUUUCAUCUUGGAAGAGGACAUACUAUCCUCAUCACUAUCUUCCUUUUCAGACGUAAAUGUGGUAGUAAAAUUUAAUGCUGAGGCACCAGAGUCUUUGUUUUGCCUUUCAAUGUCCUCUGAACUCAUAGAAUGAGAAUGUUUUCCUUCAUCAUGUUCUUUUGGUUUCAAAGAAAAUGAAGAGAAGGAAGAACCUGUUGGGGAAUCAACAAGAAAAUCUGUGCCAUAUAAGAAGAGAAGGGAAGGCCAUUAGAGUUAGCCAGCUAAUAAACCUUUGAUAGUGUAUUUAAAAAGAAGCAGAAGUAGCAUUCUCGUAGGACUUCAUCUUUAAACUGGUAGAUAUCUCGUGAUCAAACAACUUUCUAGAGGCACUUCAGCAUUUCAUCAAUUUUAUGGCCAUCAUUCUCAUCCAUUUGAGCUCACUUAUAAUUAACAAAACAGACACAUGAAAGGUUGCAUGAUUACAUUUAAAAACUUGUUUCUAUGUUUAGAACUUUGAACUAAGACUACCUAGAUCCUAAAGUUAUAAAAUAAUGGAUUGCCAACAAAUUUAUUAGAACAAACAUUCUUUAUAAGGACUAGAAAACCAUCAAUAAAUUCCAAAUUAGCCCUAUAAGAAAUUUGGAUUGUAAUUCUACAUCUCAAGUCAUUAAACUUGAUUUUCUAGAUUUCCUUGUUGUCUAUAUCUAAACAAUAAUGCAAAAUGGAAUGUUUAGGAGAGUAUUGAAUAUUUAGGAGAGUAUUGAAUGCAAAAGGGAAUGUUCUCCAUAGCUAUAGUUCCAUUUUGUUUGCAUAAAAUGAAUACUACAUAAAUAUAUCUACAUUCUAGGUCUAAUAUUCUCCUCUAAACCAGCAUAAUUAACAAAUGAUGACUGAUGAUAAAAGUCAAUUUAGAAUUAGCUAUCAAAUAUCAAUAUAGUACUUAAAUAUGAAAGAGUAUAUAAAAUAUGAGAAUUUACAUCGGCAGGAAAUUGUAAUAAAUUUAGUGCUUGAAUAGUUUUGCUUAGAGAUUUCAACACUUUGCCAUAAGUAAGAAACUACAGCUACGGAGCUUACAAGCUUGCAUUCACCAAGGAACUUAUCUCAAGAAGCUGAAGAUAACAAAUCAAAAUACCUUUGUUAUUAAAAUUCUAUCCCUGAUUAACCCUGUUUCAUGUUCACUUUCCCAAAUGGUAGAUAUAUAGAAUUAAAUGGUUCCUUGUGUUAUCUAGACAAUUCACCAAAUACAACCAGUAGGGAGUAGAAAAAGACCUAAAAUGCCAGAUAAAAGUUUAGAUGCCUGCUACCAGACGUAUAAUUUAAAACUUUAAACAAAAAGAAUGAAGGAAUAUAUCUAUGCUCAUAUAAAAGCUCUCUAACAUACUUCAGUGCAUUUAUUCUGUUUCCAAAAGUUAAGAAGGUAAAAUUUAAAUUAAUUAAUCAACUAUGUCAUAAAUGCAAAUGCCACCAAGAAAAGUAUUAUGUAGAGUAGUUAAUAAUCACAAAAGUUUUUAAGGCCAAAGCAAUUGAUGAAUAAGAAUUGACCAAAUCAACAUGUUAACUGUCUUUGUGUUGUCUGCAGGCUUCAGUUACACAACUAUUUAGCAAGGUGAAACUUAAUGUUUCUCUUUGUACUUCAUAUACUGCAGGAAUUUAUGGUAUAUUUCUCAUGCACCUACUUUUUUUUAAUAAAUAAUUUCACAACAAUAUAUCCCACAUUGGAAUGCUACAAAAAUCUUAAAGAGAAUAUGAGUAAGGAGGAACCAAGCCCAAUUGACUUAAACCAUUGCGGUGGAGGCAACCCAAGUUCAACAAUCAAAACAUGCCAACAGUCUUCAGCACUCCCCAGAUCAAAGAAGAAUUUCACAUGGUAUAAAUGCAGGCCACAAUCCUGGACCCAAAAAAGCAUGGUUGGCAGUGCCGAACCAGACCUAGGCGGAUCCAUGGCUAGUAAAAAAGUCUGAAGAAUGAAAGCUAAACUGCUCUUGUGCUGACUGUAGCGUAGUAACAAAAGGAUUCUUCUCCCAGGCCCAAAGAAAUAUGGUUGUAAAAGUAAGAGUGAGCAGAGCAAUAGAAAGAUGCCUCCCCCUCAAUCUAAAAUUAUUUGCUCCUUUCAUUUCUGUUUAUACACGAUAAGACAGAUGAUUCCUCAACCUCUACAGCACAUUUUAUACUUUUCUAGUGUUGGAUUGGAAUUGAUGAAAGUGAAUAUCUUCAGCAAACAUCCAUCAUGUGUCUUAUGCAAUACUUUCACUGCUAGCAAGCUUCAGCUAGCUGAUAUCAAAUGGAAAAUGGAGAUGCCUCUGGCAUUUCCUUGUUGGUAUACAAUCGAUGGAUCUGCUGAACCCAACCUCCGAUCCACACAAUAGACACAGUGAAAGGAGGAGGGGGAAAGAAUUGUCUAUAUCCAUACAUUCCUAUAACGCCAACGUCUAUCCAAUUAUAUUAGGACACGUGCACACCAGAAGGAGUUUUCUGUCAUUCUGAGAAAUGACGGCGGUAGUUUUGGCAGCGCGGGAUUUUCUCUAGUGAAGUAAAAUGACUAUAAAGUCCUCUUGCGGUGUCUUGAAAAUUUAGUGUCACUGGAGGGUGAAGCAAGUAAUGAAUCUGGACACCUUUUAAAUUUAGACCCUGCCAAAGUCAAGGGUGCAGACACAUCAUAUGCAUCACCGGCACGUGACGCUUAUAAUGCUCUAAAAUAUAGUAUCUGAGAAGGAAAACGGUCAAUUCAUGUAAAUAAAAAGAAAAGUUUUCCAAAAUUAAAAAAAGAGGAUUUG